Molecule: ribosomal RNA, 292 nt
Filed under: uncultured bacterium
Lineage: Bacteria
Description: partial 16S ribosomal RNA
Rfam family: Bacterial small subunit ribosomal RNA
Source: RNAcentral
GUGCCAGCCGCCGCGGUAAUACGGAGGGAGCUAGCGUUGUUCGGAAUUACUGGGCGUAAAGCGCACGUAGGCGGCGACUCAAGUCAGAGGUGAAAGCCUGGAGCUCAACUCCAGAACUGCCUUUGAAACUAGGUCGCUAGAAUCUUGGAGAGGCGAGUGGAAUUCCGAGUGUAGAGGUGAAAUUCGUAGAUAUUCGGAAGAACACCAGUGGCGAAGGCGACUCGCUGGACAAGUAUUGACGCUGAGGUGCGAAAGCGUGGGGAGCAAACAGGAUUAGAUACCCCCGUAGUCC